This 460-nucleotide ribosomal RNA is filed under the name uncultured bacterium. Its description in RNAcentral is "partial 16S ribosomal RNA". It matches the Rfam family "Bacterial small subunit ribosomal RNA", at positions 338 to 795 of the family's 1533-position model. The record is from RNAcentral.
CCUACGGGAGACAGCAGUGAGGAAUAUUGGUCAAUGGACGCAAGUCUGAACCAGCCAUGCCGCGUGCAGGAAGACUGCUCUACGGGUUGUAAACUGCUUUUGUAAGAGGAUAAAGUCAGAUACGCGUGCCUUUCUGAAAGUAUCUUAUGAAUAAGGAUCGGCUAACUCCGUGCCAGCAGCCGCGGUAAUACGGAGGAUUCAAGCGUUAUCCGGAUUUAUUGGGUUUAAAGGGUGCGUAGGUGGUCGGAUAAGUUAGUGGUGAAAGUCCGAGGCUCAACUUCGAAAUUGCAUCUGAUACUGGUCGGCUAGAGAGCAGUUGCGGUAGGCGGAAUGUGUGGUGUAGCGGUGAAAUGCUUAGAGAUCAUAAAGAACACCGAUUGCGAAGGCAGCUUACCAAGCUACUUCUGACGUUGAGGCACGAAAGCGUGGGGAGCAAACAGGAUUAGAUACCCUAGUAGUC